This 254-nucleotide ribosomal RNA is filed under the name uncultured bacterium. Its description in RNAcentral is "partial 16S ribosomal RNA". It matches the Rfam family "Bacterial small subunit ribosomal RNA", at positions 524 to 776 of the family's 1533-position model. The record is from RNAcentral.
UACGUAGGGUGCGAGCGUUAAUCGGAAUUACUGGGCGUAAAGCGUGCGCAGGCGGUCUGUUAAGACCGAUGUGAAAUCCCCGGGCUUAACCUGGGAACUGCAUUGGUGACUGGCAGGCUUUGAGUGUGGCAGAGGGAGGUAGAAUUCCACGUGUAGCAGUGAAAUGCGUAGAGAUGUGGAGGAAUACCGAUGGCGAAGGCAGCUAACUACGGAAAUAUUGACGCUGAGGCACGAAAGCGUGGGGAUCAAACAGG